RNAcentral lists this ribosomal RNA (492 nucleotides) under uncultured bacterium. RNAcentral's name for it is "partial 16S ribosomal RNA". It matches the Rfam family "Bacterial small subunit ribosomal RNA", at positions 29 to 507 of the family's 1533-position model. The record is from RNAcentral.
AGUGAACGCUGGCGGUAGGCCUAACACAUGCAAGUCGAACGGCAGCACAGUAAGAGCUUGCUCUUACGGGUGGCGAGUGGCGGACGGGUGAGGAAUACAUCGGAAUCUACUUUUUCGUGGGGGAUAACGUAGGGAAACUUACGCUAAUACCGCAUACGACCUACGGGUGAAAGCAGGGGAUCUUCGGACCUUGCGCGAUUGAAUGCGCCGAUGUCGGAUUAGCUAGUUGGCGGGGUAAAGGCCCACCAAGGCGACGAUCCGUAGCUGGUCUGAGAGGAUGAUCAGCCACACUGGAACUGAGACACGGUCCAGACUCCUACGGGAGGCAGCAGUGGGGAAUAUUGGACAAUGGGCGCAAGCCUGAUCCAGCCAUACCGCGUGGGUGAAGAAGGCCUUCGGGUUGUAAAGCCCUUUUGUUGGGAAAGAAAAGCAGCAGGUUAAUACCCCGCUGUUCUGACGGUACCCAAAGAAUAAGCACCGGCUAACUUCGUA